This 322-nucleotide ribosomal RNA is filed under the name Linyphia triangularis. RNAcentral describes it as "eukaryotic LSU rRNA". It matches the Rfam family "Eukaryotic large subunit ribosomal RNA", at positions 39 to 351 of the family's 3401-position model. The record is from RNAcentral. Lineage: Eukaryota; Metazoa; Arthropoda; Arachnida; Araneae; Linyphiidae.
CAUAUAAAUAAGCGGAGGAAAAGAAACCAACAGGGAUUCCCCGAGUAAUGGCGAACGAAACGGGAAGAGCCCAGCGCCGAAUCCCCCGCUCGCAAGGGCGCGGGGAAAUGUGGCGUUUAGGAGUGAGCGUGCCGGCGGCAGACUCUGCAGCAAGUCCCCCUGACCGGGGCUGUUGCCCACAGUGGGUGCGAGGCCCAUAGCUGCUAGGUCGACGCCGGAUGCGAUCUCCUUGGAGUCGAGUUGCUUGGGAGUGCAGCUCUAAUCGGGUGGUAAACUCCACCUAAGGCUAAAUACCGCCGUGAGACCGAUAGCAAACAAGUAC